GUCAUUUUGAACAUUGUGCCUGCUAACGGCUCGUUUCCAGCCGUCAGUCCUAACGGGAACUUUGUGCGGAGCGGACGGAAAACGGAAACAACAGUCUCGGUCCAAAACACCUUACGUCAAGCCUUACUAAGUGAACAGAAAGAAGAGUGUUAUCAGUGUCACAGCGAAAUACAAAUCAUAAAAGCAUUGGAGAAAUGCUGCAUCAAUAUACAGUGAAACAGCCAGCCAGCAUAAAGUACUACAGUGAAAUUAUAUUGUUUGCAGACCAGUAAAUACACCACCCACAAAGGUCUAAGUGCAACAUCAGUGAUUGGAGACCUGGUAUACAGUGAAACCCUAGUGACACAUCUGAUUUACAGUGAAACGAGAGUGAUUGCAGCACCACAUAUGUAGCUCUCAGAUUUUUACAAUAGUGUCUACAAACAGUCAGGCAGCACUCUGUUGCUUAGGAAAUUACGCAAAUAUUGAUAAAGGUAAGCCAGGUGUUAUAUGAAGAUAGACAGAGAUAUGGAAUGAGGAAGAGGUCUCGUCUCUGACUGAUGAGAAGAGUGGUCUGACUCUGUUAGAGGUACGGAGAGAUCUACGAGUUUGUGGGAUAAGUUGACAGUUUCUGAUACAUAUUUCGGAGGAGAGAAUGUGAGAAAGGAGAUGUCACGACGAUGCCGCAAUAAAGGCGCUGAAUAAAAAAGAAUCCUGAAGCUGAUUUCGAAUGGCAACAGCACCAAUAACAAUAAACGGAAUUGCAACAAAAGUAAUUUGAAUUUGUGUGUAGACAGACACGGAGACAGAGACGGCAAUAAAGAUACACGGAGUGAGAGAGAGAGAGAACACUAGAAAAUUGUGUACAUAUUUUGUCUCUGUCUGUUCUGUCGUUUCGUCCGUGUAAAUAAAUACAAUGCAGAAAAAACAGCAACAGAAACAGAAAAAGCAACAGAAAACAGGAAUAACAAGAGAAAUGGCAAAAAGUGCAGUUAAGCGUGGAAAUUGCAUUAAAAAUUGAGCAAAAAAAAACAACAGAAACUGCUGGAAAAUAAAGGCGAAAAAAGAGAAAAGA
Drosophila obscura is the source of this 1054-nucleotide long non-coding RNA. RefSeq lists it as uncharacterized. The transcript is spliced from 3 exons. The record is from RefSeq and is a predicted model, not a curated record. NCBI's taxonomy places the organism in Eukaryota, Metazoa, Arthropoda, Insecta, Diptera, Drosophilidae.